Molecule: long non-coding RNA, 151 nt
Organism: Phyllostomus discolor (pale spear-nosed bat)
Lineage: Eukaryota; Metazoa; Chordata; Mammalia; Chiroptera; Phyllostomidae
Exons: 3
Source: RefSeq, a predicted model, not a curated record
AUUCCUCCCAGACAAUGCUGGAGAAGCAUUUCAAAAUACAGUGACCUAGAGGUUAAAAUCAAGGUCUCUCUGACUGCUGUUCCUUCUCUUUGAUAACCUCAAAGGGGCUGAGAUAAACUUGCCUUUGACUUUCAGUCACUGACCUGGAAAU